RNAcentral lists this small RNA (1237 nucleotides) under Pongo abelii (Sumatran orangutan). RNAcentral's name for it is "retained intron". The record is from RNAcentral. Lineage: Eukaryota; Metazoa; Chordata; Mammalia; Primates; Hominidae.
CUCACCUCGGGAAAUGAGAAGACGGCUCGGUGAGGGGCACCUUUCCUAUGGUCUCUUUACACCCAUCCCAUUCACCUGAGGCAUGUUCCUGCUCCCAUAUCCCAGCCCAUGACUCUCCCGCAGGCCUGUCUCCAGAGACCCCCUGCUCUCUUAUCCCCAUUCAAGACCCUUCUGUUCCUGACCCUAACCUUGUCCCCAGGGGCCCGGAUCUUUACCCCAUCCCUGACUCCUGAGACUUCUUCCCUUUAUGCCUAUCCCUGACUUCUGGCCCUGACCCUGGGGAUCUACCCCUUCCCACCACGCAUCCCUCACCCUAGGAGGAACCAGAACUACUUGGACAUCCUGCGGCUGCUCUCGCUGGGCGACCGGCAGCUCAGUGCCUUUGACAUCUCUCUGCGUUUCACACACCUCUUCUGGUUUGGGGACCUCAACUACCGCCUGGACAUGGAUAUCCAGGAGAUCCUGAACUACAUCAGCAGGAAGGAGUUUGAGCCCCUCCUCAGGGUGGACCAGCUCAACCUGGAGCGGGAGAAGCACAAGGUCUUCCUUCGAUUCAGUGAGGAGGAGAUCUCCUUCCCACCCACCUACCGCUAUGAGCGGGGUUCCCGGGACACAUAUGCCUGGCACAAGCAGAAGCCAACUGGGGUCCGGACCAAUGUGCCCUCAUGGUGUGACCGGAUUCUGUGGAAAUCCUACCCUGAAACUCACAUCAUCUGCAAUUCUUAUGGUUGCACUGAUGACAUCGUCACCAGCGACCAUUCCCCUGUGUUUGGGACAUUUGAGGUUGGAGUUACCUCCCAGUUCAUCUCCAAGAAAGGGCUCUCGAAGACUUCAGACCAGGCCUACAUUGAGUUUGAGAGCAUCGAGGCCAUUGUGAAGACAGCCAGCCGCACCAAGUUCUUCAUCGAGUUCUACUCUACCUGCCUGGAGGAAUACAAGAAGAGCUUUGAGAAUGAUGCCCAGAGCAGUGACAACAUCAACUUUCUCAAAGUACAGUGGUCUUCACGCCAGCUGCCCACGCUCAAACCAAUUCUGGCUGAUAUCGAGUACCUGCAGGACCAGCACCUCCUGCUCACAGUCAAGUCCAUGGAUGGCUAUGAAUCCUAUGGGGAGUGUGUGGUUGCACUCAAGUCCAUGAUCGGCAGCACAGCCCAACAGUUCCUGACCUUCCUGUCCCACCGUGGCGAGGAGACAGGCAAUAUCAGAGGCUCCAUGAAGGUGCGGGUGCCCACGGAGC